CCGCGCGCGCCUGUCCUUCGGCCGCGUCCUCCUCCCCCUCUCUCUCUCUGCUCGCGGCGACCAGCCACCCUGGGCCGCCCCACCACGGCAGUGGCUGCUGCCGACUCUACCUCUCCUCCUUCCUCCCAGAUCCGUUGCCGCCGCCGCCGCCUGCAGCCACUCCGGCGAGACUCGCCUUCAGCCGCCUCCCAUCUGCCCUCUCCUUCCAUCACGUUUCCGGCAGCGGACGAGCGCUUGCUGCUGCUGCUCCGUUCUCGCAGUGGCUAGCGGCGCUUGGCCUUCGGCCGCGCCGCCCCGUGCGACGGCGUCUCGCAUCGCCUCGGGUCACGCCGCCUCGCCUCCUGCCAGCCAACAGUCGUCCGUCUUGGGCCUCCGCCUCCUCCUCCGCCUGCUUUAGCUACGAGCGGCCGGUGGGCUGCCGCCACCUGCAGCACCGGCAGCUGCGACUUCGUCAACUCAGAGUGAGGCUCCGACAGACCCCCUCCCAGCUCUCACCACUUUCUCGACUCUCACUCUCGUUCCGAAGGUAAGCAAGAAGGAUUCAACUCAGAUUUGAAGAAAAGAAAGAUGGGUUCUUGGAGAAAUCUGAAAUUGUAUAAAUGUUAUGUCCUUAGGUUUUCUUGUUUCCAAAGGUUCUGUACAAAUUCUUCUUUGUUUCUGAAGAUUACGGAAAUGUAGUUGAGAAUAGGAGUAUGAAGUUGAACCAUACACACCACAAUUGUGGUGGCAGGGGUGAAGAAAUGGUGGGUUUUGUUGGUGUUUGUUGUAUUUGGUUUUGUGGAGUAUAAAAUGAGCUUGACAGCAGAAGAUUGUCUUGGAAAAUAAAAGGAUUUGCUCGUAGGAUCAAUUUGUCAAGAUUUGGAAAAAGUAAAAGAUUUGGCACUGCAGAAUUUUUGGGGAGAUGGAAGAUCUGAUACUGCAAAAUCUUUGGGAAAAAGGGAGAAACGUUGCUGCCUUCACCAAAAUUUCAAAUUUUGGAUUAUUGAGGAGCUCACAAAUUUUUUU
RNAcentral lists this long non-coding RNA (1005 nucleotides) under Salvia miltiorrhiza (redroot sage). Its description in RNAcentral is "long non-coding RNA (SMIL_LNC010334)". Lineage: Eukaryota; Viridiplantae; Streptophyta; Magnoliopsida; Lamiales; Lamiaceae. The record is from RNAcentral.